GACGAACGCUGGCGGCGUGCUUAACACAUGCAAGUCGAACGCUGAAGCUUGGUGCUUGCCCUGGGUGGAUGAGUGGCGAACGGGUGAGUAAUACGUGAGUAACCUGCCCUUGACUCUGGGAUAAGCCUGGGAAACUGGGUCUAAUACUGGAUAUGACAUGCCACUGCAUGGUGGUGUGUGGAAAGGGUUUUACUGGUUUUGGAUGGGCUCACGGCCUAUCAGCUUGUUGGUGGGGUAAUGGCCUACCAAGGCGACGACGGGUAGCCGGCCUGAGAGGGUGAACCGGCAACAUUGGAACUGGGACACGGCCCGGACUCCUACGGGAGGCAGCGGUGGGGAAUAUUGCACAAUGGCGGAAGCCUGAUGCAGCGACGCCGCGUGAGGGAUGACGGCCUUCGGGUUGUAAACCUCUUUCAGCACGGAAGAAGCGAGAGUGACGGUACGUGCAGAAGAAGCGCCGGCUAACUACGUG
Molecule: ribosomal RNA, 472 nt
Filed under: uncultured bacterium
Lineage: Bacteria
Description: partial 16S ribosomal RNA
Rfam family: Bacterial small subunit ribosomal RNA
Source: RNAcentral